UGAGAAUCCCACAGGCCGUAAACCCAAGGUUUCCAGGGGAAGGUUCGUCCGCCCUGGGUUAGUCGGGACCUAAGCUGAGGCCGAAAGGCGUAGGUGAUGGACAACAGGUUGAUAUUCCUGUACUACCGAUAACCGUUUGAGAGAUGGGAUGACACAGUAGGAUAAGCUAAGCACACUGUUGGUUAUGUGUGCCCAAGCAUUGAGGCAGUCAGAGUAGGUAAAUCCGCUUUGAUAAUGCUGGGAUGUGAUGGGGAGCGAAAUUUAGUAGCGAAGUAGCUGAUUUCACACUGUCAAGAAAAGUCUCUAUCGAGGUUAAAGGUACCCGUACCGCAAACCGACACAGGUGGGUGAGGAGAGUAUCCUAAGGCCCGCGAGAGAACUGUUGUUAAGGAACUCGGCAAAAUGACCCCGUAACUUAGGGAUAAGGGGUGCCACCAUC
This 439-nucleotide ribosomal RNA is filed under the name Clostridioides difficile. RNAcentral describes it as "partial 23S ribosomal RNA". It matches the Rfam family "Bacterial large subunit ribosomal RNA", at positions 1322 to 1758 of the family's 2925-position model. Lineage: Bacteria; Bacillati; Bacillota; Clostridia; Peptostreptococcales; Peptostreptococcaceae. The record is from RNAcentral.